ACGGCUCAGUAACACGUCGGUAACCUACCCUCGGGAGGGGGAUAACCCCGGGAAACUGGGGCUAAUUCCCCAUAGGCCUGAGGUACUGGAAGGUCCUCAGGCCGAAAGGGACUUAUGUCCGCCCGAGGAUGGGCCGGCGGCCGAUUAGGUAGUUGGUGGGGUAAUGGCCCACCAAGCCGAAGAUCGGUACGGGCUGUGAGAGCAGGAGCCCGGAGAUGGACACUGAGACACGGGUCCAGGCCCUACGGGGCGCAGCAGGCGCGAAACCUCCGCAAUGCGGGAAACCGCGACGGGGGGACCCCGAGUGCCGUGGCAACGCCACGGCUUUUCCGGAGUGUAAAAAGCUCCGGGAAUAAGGGCUGGGCAAGGCCGGUGGCAGCCGCCGCGGUAAUACCGGCGGCCCGAGUGGUGGCCGCUAUUAUUGGGCCUAAAGCGUCCGUAGCCGGGCCCGUAAGUCCCUGGCGAAAUCCACGGCUCAACCGUGGGGCUUGCUGGGGAUACUGCGGGUCUUGGGACCGGGAGAGGCGGGGGGUACCCCUGGGGUAGGGGUGAAAUCCUAUAAUCCCAGGGGGACCGCCAGUGGCGAAGGCGCCCCGCUGGAACGGGUCCGACGGUGAGGGACGAAGGCCAGGGGAGCAAACCGGAUUAGAUACCCGGGUAGUCCUGGCUGUAAAGGAUGCGGGCUAGGUGUCGGGUGAGCCUCGAGCUCGCCCGGUGCCGUAGGGAAGCCGUUAAGCCCGCCGCCUGGGGGAGUACGGCCGCAAGGCUGAAACUUAAAGGAAUUGGCGGGGGAG
Molecule: ribosomal RNA, 794 nt
Filed under: uncultured Thermococcus sp.
Lineage: Archaea; Methanobacteriati; Methanobacteriota; Thermococci; Thermococcales; Thermococcaceae
Description: bacterial SSU rRNA
Rfam family: Archaeal small subunit ribosomal RNA
Source: RNAcentral